AUUUUUAGGUCAGGAUUGCAAAGCGGUCUGAGGUACUGCGUUCAGGUUGAAGAAUUCACUUCAAAAGUGUGAUGAAAAACAAAUGUAAUCUGUGACAGCAUGAUAUUUUUUAUAAUUUCCACUAUUUAACAUAUUUCUCAGUCAGGAUGGCCGGUCUAAGGCGCUGCGUUCAAAUCCCACUUCUGACAAAAGGUUAAAACAAGUGUUUUAAUUUCUGUAAAGUCCAAAACAAGAGGUUGCGAGGGAAACUGUGAAAAAGGCAUUCAUGUAACAAAUAAAUGUCCACUUACGUGAAUGUGUCUGUCACAAGGGAGGACGCUGCAGGUAUCAGACAUGAUUUUUCUCGCUCUUUUGUAAAAAAGGAUGUGCAAUUCAAUGAUAUAUGAAAUGUAGGUUAUCCUGCUAUUUGUCAUAAUUUCAAUGUUUGAGGUAUUUUACAGUCAGGAUGGCCGAGUGGUCUAAGGCGCUGCGUUAAGGUCGCAGUCUCCCCUGGAGGCGUGGGUUCAAAUCCCACUUCUGACAGAAGGUUAAGACAAGUGUUUUAAUAUCUGUAAAGUCCAAAACAAGAGGUUGCGAGGGAAACCGUGAAAAAGGCAUUCAUGUAACAAUAAAUGUCCAGUUACGUGAAUGUGUAUGUGCCACAAGGGAGGACGCUGCAGGUAUCAGACCUGAUAUUUCUCGCUCUUUUGUAAAAAAGGAUGUGCAAUUCAAUGACAUAUGAAAUAUAGGUUAUCCUGCUUUUUGUCAUAUUUUCAAUAUUUGAGGUAUUUUACUGUCAGGAUGGCCGAGUGGUCUAAGGCGCUGCGUUAAGGUCGCAGUCUCCCCUGGAGGCGUGGGUUCAAAUCCCACUUCUGACAGAAGGUUAAGACAAGUGUUUUAAUAUCUGUAAAGUCCAAAACAAGAGGUUGCGAGGGAAACCGUGAAAAAGGCAUUCAUGUAACAAUAAAUGUCCACUUACGUGAAUGUGUAUGUGCCACAAGGGAGGACGCUGCAGGUAUCAGAGCUGAUAUUUCUCGCUCUUUUGUAAAAAAGGAUGUGCAAUUCAAUAAUAUAUGAAAUAUAGGUUAUCCUAGUAUUUGUCAUAAUUUCAGUGUUUGAGGUAUUUUACAGUCAGGAUGGCCGAGUGGUCUAAGGCGCUGCGUUAAGGUCGCAGUCUCCCCUGGAGGCGUGGGUUCAAAUCCCACUUUUGACAAAAAGGUUAAGACAAGUGUUUUAAUUUCUGUAAAGUCCAAAACAAGAGGUUGCGAGGGAAACCGUGAAGAAGGCAUUCAUGUAACAAAUAAAUGUCCACUUACGUGAAUGUGUAUGUGCCACAAGGGAGGACGCUGCAGGUAUCAGAGCUGAUAUUUCUCGCUCUUUUGUAAAAAAGGAUGUGCAAUUCAAUGAUAUAUGAAAUAUAGGUUAUCCUAGUAUUGGUCAUAAUUUCAGUGUUUGAGGUAUUUUACAGUCAGGAUGGCCGAGUGGUCUAAGGCGCUGCGUUAAGGUCGCAGUCUCCCCUGGAGGCGUGGGGUCAAAUCCCACUUCUGGCAAAAGGUUAAGACAAUUC
Molecule: long non-coding RNA, 1546 nt
Organism: Gasterosteus aculeatus aculeatus (three-spined stickleback)
Lineage: Eukaryota; Metazoa; Chordata; Actinopteri; Perciformes; Gasterosteidae
Source: Ensembl